RNAcentral lists this ribosomal RNA (660 nucleotides) under Coxiella burnetii Q321. RNAcentral's name for it is "bacterial LSU rRNA". It matches the Rfam family "Bacterial large subunit ribosomal RNA", at positions 1190 to 1788 of the family's 2925-position model. Lineage: Bacteria; Pseudomonadati; Pseudomonadota; Gammaproteobacteria; Legionellales; Coxiellaceae. The record is from RNAcentral.
AAUGCUAAAGGGUUUGCACAAAAGCUGGAGUUAAUUUUUAUCUUUCUGUCCUCAGUCUUCUGCCAUCUGUCUUCUGAUGGGUAGAGGAGCGUUCUGUAAGCCUGUGAAGGUGAAUCGAGAGGUUUGCUGGAGGUAUCAGAAGUGCGAAUGCUGACAUAAGUAACGAUAAUGUGGGUGAAAAACCCACACGCCGAAAGUCUAAGGUUUCCUGCGCAACGUUAAUCGGCGCAGGGUGAGUCGGCCCCUAAGGCGAGGCAGAAAUGCGUAGUCGAUGGGAAACGGGUUAAUAUUCCCGUACUUUACAAUACUGCGAUGGGAGGACGGAGAAGGCUAGGUCAGCCACCCGAUGGUUGUGGUGGUUUAAGUGUGUAGGAAGGGUUCUUUGGCAAAUCCGGGAACUCAAUUCCGAGACAUGAUGACGAAGUACGAACUUGUUCGUGCAAAGUGAUUGAUGCCACGCUUCCAGGAAAAGUCCCUAAGCUUCAGGUAUUGUAAAACUGUACUAUAAACCGACACAGGUGGACAGGUAGAGAAUACCAAGGCGCUUGAGAGAACUUGGGUGAAGGAACUAGGCAAAAUGGCACCGUAACUUCGGGAGAAGGUGCGCCCUUGGUAAGUGAAGGUCCUUGCGACUGGAGCUGAAAAGGGUUGCAGAUACCA